RNAcentral lists this ribosomal RNA (883 nucleotides) under uncultured archaeon. Its description in RNAcentral is "bacterial SSU rRNA". It matches the Rfam family "Archaeal small subunit ribosomal RNA", at positions 1 to 860 of the family's 1478-position model. The record is from RNAcentral.
UUCGAUUUCGGUUGAUCCUGCCGGACCCCACUGCUAUCGGGAUAGGACUAAGACAUGCUAGUCGAGCGCGUCAGGCAAAACGACGCGCGGCACACAGUUCAGUAACACGUGGCUAAUCUGCCCUUGGGACGAGAACAACCCCGGGAAACUGGGGCUAACUCUCGAUAGGCGAAGAACUCUGGAAUGAGUCUUCACCUAAACAGUGCAACGUUAUCCUCGUUGCAUCGCCCAAGGAUGAGGCCGCGACCGAUCAGGUUGUUGGCGAGGUAAUGGCUCACCAAGCCUUUUACCGGUGCGGGCCGUGGGAGCGGGAGCCCGGAGAUGGGCACUGAGACAAGGGCCCAGGCCCUACGGGGCGCAGCAGUCGCGAAAACUUUGCAAUAAGCGAAAGCUUGACAGGGCUAUCCCGAGUGCCAUCCGCUGAGGAAGGCUUUUACCCAGUCUAGAACGCUGGGGGAAUAAGGAGAGGGCAAGUCUGGUGUCAGCCGCCGCGGUAAUACCAGCUCUCCGAGUGGUGUGGAUGUUUAUUGGGCCUAAAGCAUCCGUAGCUGGCUAAGUUAGUCCCUUGUUAAAUCCACCGAAUUAAUCGUUGGAUUGCGGGGGAUACUGCUUGGCUAGGGGACGAGAGAGGCAGACGGUAUUUUCGGGGUAGGGGUGAAAUCCUAUAAUCCCGGGAAGACCACCAGUGGCGAAGGCUGUCUGCUAGAACGCGCCCGACGGUGAGGGAUGAAAGCUGGGGGAGCGAACCGGAUUAGAUACCCGGGUAGUCCCAGCUGUAAACGAUGCAGGCUAGGUGUUUGGACGGCCACGUGCCGUUCUAGUGCCGCAGGGAAGCUGUUAAGCCUGCCGCCUGGGGAGUACGAUCGCAAGAUUGAAACUUAAA